AUUGAACGCUGGCGGCAGGCUUAACACAUGCAAGUCGAGCGGGGGAAGGUAGCUUGCUACCGGACCUAGCGGCGGACGGGUGAGUAAUGCUUAGGAAUCUGCCUAUUAGUGGGGGACAACAUCACGAAAGGGAUGCUAAUACCGCAUACGUCCUACGGGAGAAAGCAGGGGAUCUUCGGACCUUGCGCUAAUAGAUGCGCCUAAGUCGGAUUAGCUAGUCGGUGGGGUAAAGGCCUACCAAGGCGACGAUCUGUAGCGGGUCUGAGAGGAUGAUCCGCCACACUGGGACUGAGACACGGCCAGACUCCUACGGGAGGCAGCAGUGGGGAAUAUUGGACAACGGGGGGAACCCUGAUCCAGCCAUGCCGCGUGUGUGAAGAAGGCCUUAUGGUUGUAAAGCACUUUAAGCGAGGAGGAGGCUACUUUAGUUAAUACCUAGAGAUAGUGGACGUUACUCGCAGAAUAAGCACCGGCUAACUCUGUGCCAGCCGCCGCCGUAA
This 500-nucleotide ribosomal RNA is filed under the name uncultured bacterium. RNAcentral describes it as "partial 16S ribosomal RNA". It matches the Rfam family "Bacterial small subunit ribosomal RNA", at positions 30 to 523 of the family's 1533-position model. The record is from RNAcentral.